CCUACGGGUGACAGCAGUGGGGAAUAUUGGGCAAUGGACGCAAGUCUGACCCAGCAACGCCGCGUGAAGGAAGAAGGCUUUCGGGUUGUAAACUUCUUUUAAGGGGGAAGAGCAGUAGACGGUACCCCUUGAAUAAGCCACGGCUAACUACUGGCCAGCAGCCGCGUUAAUACGUAGGUGGCAGGCGUUGUCCGGAUUUACUGGGUGUAAAGGGCGUGCAGCCGGAGAGACAAGUCAGAUGUGAAAUCCACGGGCUCAACCCGUGAAGUGCCUUUGAAACUGUUUACCUUGAGUGUAGGAGAGGUAAGCGGAAUUCCUAGUGUAGCGGUGAAAUGCGUAGAUAUCAGGAAGAACACCAGUGGCGAAGGCGGAUUACUGGACGAUAACUGACGGUGAGGCGCGAAAGCGUGGGGAGCAAACAGGAUUAGAUACCCUGGUAGUC
This 442-nucleotide ribosomal RNA is filed under the name uncultured bacterium. Its description in RNAcentral is "partial 16S ribosomal RNA". It matches the Rfam family "Bacterial small subunit ribosomal RNA", at positions 338 to 795 of the family's 1533-position model. The record is from RNAcentral.